Long non-coding RNA from Chelonoidis abingdonii (Abingdon island giant tortoise), 552 nucleotides. RefSeq lists it as uncharacterized. The record is from RefSeq and is a predicted model, not a curated record. Lineage: Eukaryota; Metazoa; Chordata; Testudines; Testudinidae.
GUGGUGUCCAGGUCUCCGUGCCUGAAGGCUCCUGUCCUGUGUGCAACUGCCCAGUUCUGGCAUUCCCUUGGGGCAGUCGGAAAGCAUCCCAGUGCCCUCGGGUCGGAAGAGCUGCCGUCUCCAUCUCGCCAAGGCACAGCGAUUCUCUCUGCGGGAAAGGCCAUUGCACAAGGAGCCACACCACGGAAUCGGAAGGACCUUGGAGCCCGGGAGCUUUCGUUGUCCUGAGGAUUCAAAGUGACUGUUGUGAUCACCUAGUCUCACCAGCUACGGAACCUGCGCCAUUGGACAGCCCUGAAUUCAUUCUUGCUUGAACCAGAGCAGAGUGUUUAGAAGAACAUCCCAUCUUGAUAUAAAAGCUGCCAGCGAUGGAGAAUCCACCACAACCCUUGCCCGCCUGCGCCGCUCCAGCGAUGGGAGAGGGAGCUGGAGUCCAUUCUGCCCGGCUACAGCCUCGUGAGCACCGCACUGCUGGGCUGUGACAGGGAAAAAGAACUUGUCCAGAUUAGACCAGGUGGAGAUUUGCAGAUCCAGCCAUUGGAAAUGGCCUUU